Molecule: non-coding RNA, 87 nt
Organism: Gossypium hirsutum (cotton)
Lineage: Eukaryota; Viridiplantae; Streptophyta; Magnoliopsida; Malvales; Malvaceae
Source: Rfam
CACGUUAGCGCGACCUGUUGACGUGGAAGGAAAUCGCGUCCCUGAGGGAGCGAUUUCCUUCCACGUCAGCAGAUCGCGCUGACGUGG